Non-coding RNA from Castor canadensis (American beaver), 591 nucleotides. Lineage: Eukaryota; Metazoa; Chordata; Mammalia; Rodentia; Castoridae. The record is from RefSeq and is a predicted model, not a curated record.
CCUAGAGGACACGAGUUUGUGUUCUGUGACUUUCUCGAUGGCUGAAGAAAAGGCCUCAGAAAAAGGGCCUGGCUUAUAGGAAGUUGAACACAGAAUCGAAACUUCUCCUGAGGUGCCACCUAACACCACUAACCACAAGGACUGCCGGGAUAGCCCUGUUGACACUGCAAAAAUAAAAUAUGUCACCAGAACAUGUCACAGAGCUGAGAAACUUAUUUCCAUGAUUCCCUAAGGUCAACUUUGGUACAUGCUUUUUCCUACUGGGCAGCAAACAUGUGUUACCAAACUCUUAGCUAAGUGCUUUUUGUUUACAAUUCUACAAUGAAUUUCUGGCUUUCUUCAUGUUGACUCCUGAAAAUACUGGGAUCUACUUCCACGUCUUUUUCAGGGAAUAAAUUCCAAGUUGCAGUGCAUCUUUGAACCUUUGUAAACAUUUUACUGUGAAAACUUUCAAGUCUACAGAAAACUAGAACGACUUUACAGCCAAUAUCUGUAGCCCCAACACUUAGAUUCUACCAUUAGCAGUUUCUUGUUGUACCUGCUUUGUCACAGGUCUGUCCAUCCCAUUUCCUAUUUGUCAGUCCAUCUCUU